RNAcentral lists this transfer RNA (73 nucleotides) under Ailuropoda melanoleuca (giant panda). It matches the Rfam family "tRNA". From Rfam's summary of the family: Transfer RNA (tRNA) molecules are approximately 80 nucleotides in length. Their secondary structure includes four short double-helical elements and three loops (D, anti-codon, and T loops). Further hydrogen bonds mediate the characteristic L-shaped molecular structure. tRNAs have two regions of fundamental functional importance: the anti-codon, which is responsible for specific mRNA codon recognition, and the 3' end, to which the tRNAs corresponding amino acid is attached (by aminoacyl-tRNA synthetases). tRNAs cope with the degeneracy of the genetic code in two manners: having more than one tRNA (with a specific anti-codon) for a particular amino acid; and 'wobble' base-pairing, i.e. permitting non-standard base-pairing at the 3rd anti-codon position. The record is from Rfam by way of RNAcentral. Lineage: Eukaryota; Metazoa; Chordata; Mammalia; Carnivora; Ursidae.
GCCCGGCUGGCUCAGCUGGUGGAGCGUGAGACUCUUGAUCUCAGGGCGGUGAGUUCGAGCCCCAUGGUGGGUG